AGAGCUUGUAACACUCCAAAAAGAAAGGAAAAAUUUUAAUUGCCUCAUAUGACCCUUUAAUCAAAUCUCACUGGUUCUGGUGAAAGCUCAAACAUGCUUGUGUAACACGUGAGAACAACCCUUACAAAAAAAUAAAAAAUAAAAAUGGAAUAUGCUUUAAUAUAUACAUGUAUCAUGUAUUACUAUAUACUGAGAUGUCACAAUUCAUAUUUUCCUCAUAACUGUGUACAUGUAUUACACAUAUAUAUUCAUAUAGUAUGCAUAUGUUCAAAUAUAUUUAUACACACAAAGUAUUGUCACAAGUUCACCAGCUACUGUCAUCAUGCCUGUUACAAGACCAGUCACCUCAGCACACUACAUUUCCCAGAAUCCUCCCUGGCUCACACCUGCUCACAGUCCACACUCAUUGCACCUGUCUGCCUUUAGCUUCAUCGGUGGGUCUUUAUAAGCCAGCAUCAAGCGCUGACACAUUUUUUUUGGUCUCCUCUUUGCUGACUGAAAGUUGCACUUACCCUUUGUUCUCAUCUCAGCUCACUUACCUGGACUCUAUGCAGUCUACAGCUGAGUUCCAGAUCUGUUCAAGAUGCUCUCCUGCUGUCCUGCAAUGCUGAUCACCUGUUAAUAACCUGUUUAAUAAAGAACAUUGUAGUACAUACUUUACUGGAGUCUCUACCUGACUCACCUGCCUGUGGACUUGCCUGCAUUCCUGCAAAAGAGAGAACAAUACUUGUACCAGCCUAAGUUAAGUGAACUCUCAUUUGCUAGAAUGUUUGCUUACCUGUUGUCACCAAAUCUUUUUCACUUUGCUUUAAACUGUCAAUAAAAGACCACAAACUUACCUGUCUGUCUCCCAGAGGCCCUCUUCUGUAUCGUGACAUUUAUUUUAUCACACAUUUAUACAUUGAAGUGUAUUAUUGAAUAUAAAAUGACAUGCAUUACAUUGUAUAAGCAAGCAUAUUUUUUUCAGUAAAUGAAAAGCAUUCCAUAUGUAUUCAAUAUUGCAAUAUUAAUGUAAAUAUAUUUUCAUUGGGAAACCUCGUUAGUUCUCAGGUCAAGGAAACAUGUAGCUACUCCAUGUUUAUAUGUAAAUAAAGUUAAAACUAAAAUCUGUUCAUAUAAAGAAAUUGUAUCACUUUAGGAGACUUGCACUGUCUUUAUGAACUUUUUGAAAUACAAUUUUGAUAAAAUGGACUUUCAAUGGAGGGGCAUAAAUCUGUCAAUCUUAUUAAAUAUACCUUUAUUUGUGUUUGAAGAUUAAUGAAAGUCUUAGGUUUAAAAUGCUAUGAGAGUCAUUUAAUUUUUGUUUCAUAUGACCCUUAUAUCUCUGACAUGAAGCACACAACAAACUUGAUCAACACAUUAGCAUGUUUCUAAGCUCAUGACAUUAUAUUGUAAUUUCCUUUUUCCUUGACUUAGAAAAUAUCAUAGAUGUCACUGUUGGUUUAUUGUCAUUUCUGUUCUGUGUAACAAACAACAUGAUGUUUGUCAUGAAACAACAGUACAGAUGCUUAACAGCAGAAUAAAUGCAGGUUCACAAUAAUGCAGGUAAUAGAUACUGCAUGUGGACUCCAGUGUACAUGUCAGCACAUAUGUCCAUGAAUUAUUUUUAUCAUUGCAAAUAAAAUACAAAUGUACCUGAAUGAAAUGCUUCUAUCAAAUAUAAAAAGAUUCCAUUAUUCUGGCUUAAACAAAACACCAUAAGACCGAUUGAAUUCCUCAAAACAUGUCUGGGACACAAACACAUUUGAUGAUCUCUUAUCACAGAGGCUAAAAAGACUGCAUGCGUAUAUUCGGCUCUUUGAGGUUAUUAUGUGGGGGGAAAAAUAAAAAUAAAUCACUCCCUCAAUCUCUGUUCACUUCAUAGCUGGUGUGAUUGUGAGAACAGAGAGCUUAGAAAUGCAUUUAAGUCUCUGUCAGCUCUUAAAAUGUCUGUUUUUAUGUUUGUACACACUGGAUGUGUGAAUUCUUGUUUGUAACCAUGCUUAGCAUAAAUCAAGUUAAGUUUUAAUUGCCUCCAUAUUUUCGAGCCCCUACAUUUAUUCUCUUACAGAAAGCAAAAAAAAAAAAAUCCUGUCAAAUUCAACUUUUCUCAAGUUUAAGUGUUAGAGCAGAAGAGUUUACUCACAGUAGCCAUCUGGAUGCUGGUGUGCCCUUCUGUGCUAGCCACUGAAAAACUACCCUCCAGAAGCAGACACCAGACAUGAUACACCCACAAAACACCCUGCAGAUUCCAAACCAGACACAAUCUCAGCAUACAUAAAACUGACAGCUCUUCGCUCUCGUCAGAAGGAUUUGACACAUGAAAAGUCUUUAGAAAUAUGAAGGAUAACACUAUACUAUUCUUGAACUCUUGCAUUGCAAGACUGUGAUUCACUAUAACUGCCCACUAGUGGAUAAGUAGAGUAUAGCAUCAGUUUUAUUUUGUU
Cyprinus carpio carpio is the source of this 2426-nucleotide long non-coding RNA. The record is from Ensembl. Lineage: Eukaryota; Metazoa; Chordata; Actinopteri; Cypriniformes; Cyprinidae.